AUCCAUAUAAAUACCCUAAGUGCCCCAGAUCCCAUUUGAUCUUGGUAGCUAUGCAGGGUCAGCCCUGACUAGUACUUGGAUGGGAGACUCUCAACAAAUAACAGGUGCUGUAGAUU
Molecule: ribosomal RNA, 116 nt
Filed under: Anolis carolinensis (green anole)
Lineage: Eukaryota; Metazoa; Chordata; Lepidosauria; Squamata; Anolidae
Source: RNAcentral